CCUACGGGAGGCUGCAGUCGAGAAUCAUUCACAAUGGGGGAAACCCUGAUGGUGCGACGCCGCGUGGGGGAAUGAAGGUAUUCGGAUUGUAAACCCCUGUCAUGUGGGAGCAAAUUAAAAAGAUAGUACCACAAGAGGAAGAGACGGCUAACUCUGUGCCAGCAGCCGCGGUAAUACAGAGGUCUCAAGCGUUGUUCGGAAUCACUGGGCGUAAAGCGUGCGUAGGCUGUUUCGUAAGUCGUGUGUGAAAGGCGCGGGCUCAACCCGCGGACGGCACAUGAUACUGCGAGACUAGAGUAAGGGAGGGGGAACCGGAAUUCUCGGUGUAGCAGUGAAAUGCGUAGAUAUCGAGAGGAACACUCGUGGCGAAGGCGGGUUCCUGGACAUUAACUGACGCUGAGGCACGAAGGCCAGGGGAGCGAAAGGGAUUAGAUACCCGGGUAGUC
RNAcentral lists this ribosomal RNA (446 nucleotides) under uncultured bacterium. RNAcentral's name for it is "partial 16S ribosomal RNA". It matches the Rfam family "Bacterial small subunit ribosomal RNA", at positions 338 to 795 of the family's 1533-position model. The record is from RNAcentral.